Molecule: ribosomal RNA, 450 nt
Filed under: uncultured bacterium
Lineage: Bacteria
Description: bacterial SSU rRNA
Rfam family: Bacterial small subunit ribosomal RNA
Source: RNAcentral
GAGUACAGUGGCAGACGGGUGAGUAACACGUGGGCAACCUGCCCGGAGGUGGGGGAUAACGUUCCGAAAGGGACGCUAAUACCGCAUGACAACCCGAGCACCUCGGUGCACGGGUUCAAAGCUUGCCUCUUCUUGAAAGCAGGCGCCACCGGAGGGGCCCGCGCCCCAUUAGCUUGAUGGUGAGGUAACGGCUCACCAUGGCGACGAUGGGUAGCCGGCCUGAGAGGGUGACCGGCCACACUGGAACUGAGACACGGUCCAGACUCCUACGGGAGGCAGCAGUGAGGAAUCUUGCGCAAUGGGCGAAAGCCUGACGCAGCGACGCCGCGUGGAGGAGGAAGGUCUUCGGAUCGUAAACUCCUGUCAAGAGGGACGAAUCCGGAGCGGAUGAAUAAGCCGUUCCGUUGACGGUACCUCUGGAGGAAGCCCCGGCUAACUCCGUGCCAGCAG